UCCCUGCAGAAUCUAGACAAUAGAGAAUGGGGAAUAAGAUAUGGCUAUUGCAGUGCCCAGAUGAGGUGAGAGCAAACUGCUACAGAGAUAAAAAGCCACAACAUGAUGAUCAUGUAGUCAAGCAUCUGAAGACUAGCGAGGAGAAGAAACGCCUGCUUUGGAUGAGCAAGGAAGAACUAACAACUAGCUGUACCAGAUAAACAUGUUCAAGCUAGUAGAAUCUCCAAAUGCUAUGUUGAAUGAGCACCACGGAUGAAGGAGGCGGAGGAAAACAGACAGCUUCUAUCUACCAUACCUUCACCAAGUCAUGCAAUGUUUGCUUCAUGAACAAUUGUUACAUCUGAAAUACAUUAUUUUUAUUCUUUUAUGCUGGAUGUGGGUAAUUUAGCAGGUCUAUUGUAUAAUGUAUUGUUUUGAAAUGUUGAACUAUCUAUUCAGUCUCAACUCACAUUAUUUAAGCAAACAUAAAAUAAGUGUUUGUACUGUUACUUUUUACAUGCUGAAACAGUCAUUAGUUUUGAGCUAGACUAUGAUCUGGGAAAUGUCUACUACCCUUAAUGUUGCUGAUGAAUGAAAUUAGCACUGUUUAUAAUAGUUUGUUGCUACUGUCUGGUGAGGAAGUGAACAAUACGAAAUACAUUGGAGGAAGGGAGAAUGAAUGAAAUCAGAACUUGGACAGUGUCAGGGAAUUAAGUAGGUAAAUGUACAGCCUGCAGUAUCAAUGACAAAAGAAACUGUGCAGAGGUAGCCUUAAGAUAACUGUAAAAGUUUAUAAAUUCCUUUUUAGAAAACAUUUUAAUUCAGCCUUUGUGGUUUUGAAAGUGUAGUGACUAUUGCUUUAAUUUAUUCAUCAAACAAAUGGGGUUUUGGAAAAGUAGGUACUUCUCAAAACUGUUUCCAUCCACCAGAUGGGAUUGUCAUUGUUUUUAUAUACACAUAUACUAUAGACAAGGAAACGUUAUGGAUAGCUAAUUAAAAACAAAAAUUACCUUUGAA
Long non-coding RNA from Oncorhynchus keta (chum salmon), 996 nucleotides. RefSeq lists it as uncharacterized. NCBI's taxonomy places the organism in Eukaryota, Metazoa, Chordata, Actinopteri, Salmoniformes, Salmonidae. The transcript has 3 exons. The record is from RefSeq and is a predicted model, not a curated record.